This is a non-coding RNA of Vibrio vulnificus YJ016, 92 nucleotides long. The record is from Rfam. Lineage: Bacteria; Pseudomonadati; Pseudomonadota; Gammaproteobacteria; Vibrionales; Vibrionaceae.
AUCACACAUAGGCAAACCUUCUGAAAAGAUGGGACGCAAAGCUUCCGGUCUGUCGGUAUUUUUAUCAUACCCAAGAUAGCGGGGCCGCCGCU